CUCUGACAGACUGCUCUUAGACAAUGGCAGCCUGCACAUGCUUUUGUUUAAGUUCUUAUUUUUGUGUCUGUAACUUGGAAGGCGAGUAUCUCUGACUCCCAUUGCAUCCCGAUCUCCAGCUGUUAGUUCACAUUUUGGCACUGCCUCUUCCACUGAGAAGGCCAAACACGAGCGUCCUUCUCCUCCCACUGAUCCCGUGUGCCAGCCUCCAGAGUCCAAACGGACCAAAACCAGUGACCCCCCAGCAAAGAGCAGUGUCACCCAGGAUUAGUGUUUACUGGGAACAGUGUGGUGCUGCGAUAUCGGACUCAAGUGCACGCAGCAGAGAGUGGAGGAUAAAGAAGCUUCAGAAUAAAGCCGCUGAAUCUCCCCAUGGAUGAAACAUCAUAGUGCAAUAGCAUUGUGUUUGCUCUGAUAUUCAGUCUGUACUUAAUCUAACGAGACGAUGCUUUACACUUCACUUAAUGUACUCAAGUUAUAGAACAGUAUUUUUGAAAUCUCUUUUCUUUUUAUAGUUGUGCGUGUUUUAUAUCCUACAGUAAACAGGUAAUGAGGUAAGUGUGUUAUAUUUGAUUUAUGUGACAUUUAAAAGUGCUGUUGGAAAGAGGAAAAUGGUCUCACUUCCUAUCUGUGUGUGAAGACCUAAAGAAGACAAAAUACAAGCACUUCAAGGGCUUGUGCCUUGUGUUGGCUUUGACUGAAUAACUUGUCUUAAUUGCUAAAGACUGCACUAACAGCUUGAGGUUUAAACUCAAAUUUGUUGAGCCUUUCGGAGUCAUUUUGUUAUAAAAUUAAAAAAAGGGCGUGUCACAUAGAGUACAAGUGGUUUGUCACAUGGUGUACUAAUGACAAGCAGCUGAUAGUUAUGUAAAAUGUAAGGAAAUUAACUAUUUGUGUUAAAACUAAACUGAUUUAAAGGUGUCUCUAAUGUUGAACUAAUGCAGCAAGUUUCGCUGAGCAGCUGUUCUGUUAUAAAUUCUAAAGGUCUGAAUUAUACAUUAUAAGAACAACUGCAGAUAAGCUACUUGAGAAAUGACGAAUUCUCCAUUUAUUCGACCGAUCCAAAAGUAGUCAAACAUGUUCAAAAAUACAGGAAUCAACUACAAGGAUGAUAAAGCGAAUAAAAUGCCAAAUCUACAAAAGACAUGACUUCAGUGAUAUCCCUGAGUGUACAGCAGUAUUUUGUGGCCUUAUUAAUCUGUUUUACUCUCAAUGUAGAGUCAAAAUGACGAUAAAUUUUAAAUGCUGCCCAUAUAUACAAAGUAAAAAACACUGAAUCACAUCAUCAUAGUCACUUCAUAUACAGUCAUGAAAAAUCACAUUUAAAAAACAUAUUAGAGAAGGCAAUCAUCAUUAAAGGCGAUUUGCAUAAAUGACAAAAUGUUUGUAGUCAUUUUCACAAUUGAAAAAAUAAAACAGAUCAGUUGCAUGGAAAAAGUAAGCACACCUUCACAUCCAUAAAAUUAGAAUCAGGGGUUCCAGCUGAGGUGCUGCUGAUAAUAACAUGCUUAAGGAGUGACAGGUGGAGUCUGUUGUAUUUAAACCUCCGAUAUCCAGGAUCUACUGUUCUCUUUGCUGUUGAAGUGUGAAGUGUCAUCAUGCUGAGAUCUAAAGAGCUUUCUAAGGCCUCCCAAAAAUAACCCAACAGCAGACAGUUUGAUGCAUAAAAGAAGUCUCCAAGAACCCCGAAAUUUCACCAAAAAGUGAAACUGUGCAACUGGGUCAAUGUAUAAUAGAGGGACUUUUGAAGUCCAUAGGAUAUAUCUUGCAUACAUUUUUAUUAAAAGUAAAAAAAAAAAGUUUUUGUGUUCAUUAUGAUCAUGUCUUUACAAAUUCCACAAUUGUUUAUUAUGCAAACAAUCACUUCUUAAUAAAAAAUGACUGGAUGUCACUAAAAUGUCAAAUAACCAUCCAAAUUUAAUAACAACUACCUUCUAAUUAGCUGAACAAUAAUAAAAUGAGCUUAUUCAAAAAUUGUUUUAAUUGUAUUCUUUUAUUUAGUUUAUUAAUUGUAUCUGUG
Amphiprion ocellaris (clown anemonefish) is the source of this 2020-nucleotide long non-coding RNA. Lineage: Eukaryota; Metazoa; Chordata; Actinopteri; Pomacentridae. The record is from Ensembl.